AGGGCGUUUGGAACAUGUGGCGUUUAGGAGGAAUCUCUCCGAGGGCAGACGGUGUCGCAAGUCCCCCUGAACGGGGCUGUGAUCCAGAGCGGGUGCGAGGCCCAUAGCUGGUACCGUCUCCUUUGGGUGUCCCCUCCUUGGAGUCGGGUUGCUUGGGAGUGCAGCCCUAAUUGGGUGGUAAACUCCACCUAAGGCUAAAUACGUCCGUGAGACCGAUAGCAAACAAGUACCGUGAGGGAAAGUUGCAAAGAACUUUGAAGAGAGAGUUCAAGAGUACGUGAAACCGCUCAGAGGCAAACGGGUGGGCCCACGAAAGCCGAAGGCGGGGGGAUUCAGUCGAGAGGACGGUGGGGCAGGACUGGCUGGUUGGACGGACCGUGCCAGGCCGGGUCAGUUCCCGAGAUCUGCCGCCUUUCGACGCAUUUCCCCCUGCUUAGUAGGACGCCGCAACCGGUUGGCGCUGCAGCCAUAAGGGAGAGUAAAUGGAAGGUAGCCAGUGAGUUCUUCUUCGGAGGCGCGAGCUGGUCCUAAGCCGACUCUCCUGGUGCUUGUGGCCCGACCGUGGUCGUGAGUCCCUCAACGGGAUGUCGCCGAGCCCUCUGACUGGAGCGGGAGAAAUGGCAGGCUGCUUUCCGCGGAAAAAAUCGAUCGCUUCACGCGUGCAGUGGGCGAUCUCCGGAGGUAGCUGCUGGUGCAUUUUUCUCCUGCGCUGGGCACAGGCAGUUGGCGGCGAGUAGGUCGGUCACCCACCCGACCCGUCUUGAAACACGGACCAAGGAGUCUAACAUGUGCGCGAGUCAUUGGGUCUUGAACAAGCCCAAAGGCGCAAUGAAAGUGAAGACCAGCACUGAAGCUGGUGGAGUUGGGAAACUGCGUCACUGAAGAUGCAGUUGCACCAACGGCCCGUCCCGUCCGCAUCGUCGGUGGGGCGGAGCGAGAGCGUACACGUUGGGACCCGAAAGAUGGUGAACUAUGCCUGGGCAGGACGAAGCCAGA
This 996-nucleotide ribosomal RNA is filed under the name Draculoides sp. SCH106. RNAcentral's name for it is "partial large subunit ribosomal RNA". It matches the Rfam family "Eukaryotic large subunit ribosomal RNA", at positions 129 to 856 of the family's 3401-position model. The record is from RNAcentral. Lineage: Eukaryota; Metazoa; Arthropoda; Arachnida; Schizomida; Hubbardiidae. RNAcentral also lists the same sequence under 1 other name.